This 337-nucleotide ribosomal RNA is filed under the name uncultured Bacillota bacterium. RNAcentral's name for it is "bacterial SSU rRNA". It matches the Rfam family "Bacterial small subunit ribosomal RNA", at positions 28 to 351 of the family's 1533-position model. Lineage: Bacteria; Bacillati; Bacillota. The record is from RNAcentral.
GACGAACGCUGGCGGCGUGCCUAAUACAUGCAAGUCGAGCGGAGUUGAUGGAGUGCUUGCACUCCUGAUACUUAGCGGCGGACGGGUGAGUAACACGUAGGUAACCUGCCUGUAAGACUGGGAUAACAUUCGGAAACGAAUGCUAAUACCGGAUACGCGAAUUGGUCGCAUGAUCAGUUCGGGAAAGACGGAGCAAUCUGUCACUUACAGAUGGACCUGCGGCGCAUUAGCUAGUUGGUGAGGUAACGGCUCACCAAGGCGACGAUGCGUAGCCGACCUGAGAGGGUGAUCGGCCACACUGGGACUGAGACACGGCCCAGACUCCUACGGGUGGCAG